GGAUAGUAUGGCUAAAGGCUUCCAAGAAAAUCCCCUAAACCUCAGAUAAAAGCAACCCGUACCAAAACCGACACAGGUAGUCAAGGAGAGAAUCCUAAGGUGUUCGAGUGAAUCACGGCUAAGGAACUAGGCAAAAUAUACCUGUAACUUAGGGAGAAAGGUAGCCUUAUAACUUAAGUUAGAGAGUUAGAAGGCCGCAGUGAAGAGAUCCAGACGACUGUUUAACAAAAACAUAGGGCUCUGCUAAAUCGAAAGAUGACGUAUAGNGCCUGAGACCUGCCCGGCGNUGGAAGGUUAAGGAAGGAGGUAAACUUUUGUGAAGCCUACGACUGAAGCCCCAGCAAACGGCGGCUGUAACUAUGACGGUCCUAAGGUAGCGAAAUUCCUUGUCGGGUAAGUUCCUACUUGCACGAAU
This 415-nucleotide ribosomal RNA is filed under the name Flavobacteriales endosymbiont of Dynaspidiotus degeneratus D001. RNAcentral describes it as "bacterial LSU rRNA". It matches the Rfam family "Bacterial large subunit ribosomal RNA", at positions 1587 to 1997 of the family's 2925-position model. Lineage: Bacteria; Pseudomonadati; Bacteroidota; Flavobacteriia; Flavobacteriales. The record is from RNAcentral.